This 28-nucleotide non-coding RNA is filed under the name Mus musculus (house mouse). The record is from RNAcentral. Lineage: Eukaryota; Metazoa; Chordata; Mammalia; Rodentia; Muridae.
UAAUCUGCCUUUGUAGUUCAGCCUUAAC